RNAcentral lists this ribosomal RNA (253 nucleotides) under uncultured bacterium. RNAcentral describes it as "partial 16S ribosomal RNA". It matches the Rfam family "Bacterial small subunit ribosomal RNA", at positions 524 to 776 of the family's 1533-position model. The record is from RNAcentral.
GACGAACCGUGCAGACGUUAUUCGGAAUCACUGGGCAUAAAGGGCGCGUAGGCGGCUUUCUAAGUCAGGGGUGAAAUCCGGCAGCUCAACUGUCGCAGUGCCUUUGAUACUGGAGAGCUCGAGGGAGGUAGGGGUCUGUGGAACUUCCGGUGGAGCGGUGAAAUGCGUUGAUAUCGGAAGGAACGCCGGUGGCGAAAGCGACGGACUGGAUCUCUUCUGACGCUGAGGCGCGAAAGCCAGGGGAGCAAACGGG